AGUGAACGCUGGCGGUAGGCCUAACACAUGCAAGUCGAACGGCAGCACAGUAAGAGCUUGCUCUUACGUGUGGCGAGUGGCGGACGGGUGAGUUAUACAUCGGAAUCUACUUUUUCGUGGGUGAUAACGUAGGGAAACUUACUCUAAUACCGCAUACGUCCUACUUGUGAAAGCAGGGGAUCUUCGGACCUUUCGCGAUUGAAUGAGCCGAUGUCGGAUUAGCUAGUUGGCGGGUUAAAGGCCUACCAAGGCGACGAUCCGUAUCUGGUCUGAGAGGAUGAUCAGACACACUGGAAGAGAGAAACGGCACAGACUCCUACGGGGAGAAGCAGUGGGGAAUAUUGGACGAUGGGCGAAAGCCUGAUACAGCAAUACCGCGUGGGUGAAGAGGGAGUUCGGGUUGUAAAGCGAUUUUGUUGGGAAAGAAAAGAAGCAGGUUAAUACCCGGCUGUUAUGACGGUACCGAAAGAAUAAGCACCGGCUAACUUCGUG
Molecule: ribosomal RNA, 492 nt
Filed under: uncultured bacterium
Lineage: Bacteria
Description: partial 16S ribosomal RNA
Rfam family: Bacterial small subunit ribosomal RNA
Source: RNAcentral